CGCCCCCUAUACGUCAUCAUUAAGUAAACUUUGACCCGGAACCUCACAGUCAGCAGACACUUCCUGGGAGGGAGGGUCUGCUGCUGAUUGGGUGGAAUGUGUCUGCUGGCUGUGAGGUUCCGGGUCAAAGUUUACUUAAUGAUGACAUAUAGGGGGCG
RNAcentral lists this microRNA precursor (158 nucleotides) under Pelobates cultripes (western spadefoot toad). The record is from RNAcentral. Lineage: Eukaryota; Metazoa; Chordata; Amphibia; Anura; Pelobatidae.